GACAGAGGGUGCAAACGUUGUUCGGAAUUACUGGGCGUAAAGCGCGUGUAGGCGGCUAUGCAAGUCGGGCGUGAAAGCCCUCGGCUCAACCGAGGAAGUGCACUCGAAACUGCGUAGCUAGAGUCUCGGAGAGGAAGGUGGAAUACUUGGUGUAGAGGUGAAAUUCGUAGAUAUCAAGUGGAACACCGGUGGCGAAGGCGGCCUUCUGGACGAUGACUGACGCUGAGACGCGAAAGCGUGGGGAGCAAAC
RNAcentral lists this ribosomal RNA (250 nucleotides) under uncultured delta proteobacterium. Its description in RNAcentral is "partial 16S ribosomal RNA". It matches the Rfam family "Bacterial small subunit ribosomal RNA", at positions 524 to 773 of the family's 1533-position model. Lineage: Bacteria; Deltaproteobacteria. The record is from RNAcentral. RNAcentral also lists the same sequence under 1 other name.